GUUCAGAGCACUGUGAAUUUGGUUCAGACAAGAGGGUUUAGUGUUUUAGCAAUUGAGAAAUACUGUAAUUAACUUCUGACUCAAUGUAAACA
Long non-coding RNA from Myripristis murdjan (pinecone soldierfish), 92 nucleotides. RefSeq lists it as uncharacterized. Lineage: Eukaryota; Metazoa; Chordata; Actinopteri; Holocentriformes; Holocentridae. The record is from RefSeq and is a predicted model, not a curated record. The transcript is spliced from 4 exons.